UCGUUGUUUCCGAUGAUGGUGCAAUACAGGUUAUCGGACUGGAGGCCCUUGCCUUUGGGAAGUUAACCGAUAUUUCUUCAAUAGAGGAAGCAA
RNAcentral lists this ribosomal RNA (93 nucleotides) under uncultured eukaryote. RNAcentral describes it as "partial small subunit ribosomal RNA". The record is from RNAcentral.